Molecule: ribosomal RNA, 301 nt
Filed under: uncultured bacterium
Lineage: Bacteria
Description: partial 16S ribosomal RNA
Rfam family: Bacterial small subunit ribosomal RNA
Source: RNAcentral
CAGCCGCCGCGGGAAUACGUAGGGUGCGAGCGUUAAUCGGAAUUACUGGGCGUAAAGCGUGCGCAGGCGGUUAUAUAAGUCAGAUGUGAAAUCCCCGGGCUCAACCUGGGAAUGGCAGUGGAUACUGGCUCGCUAGAGUGUGUCAGAGGAUGGUGGAAUUCCCGGUGUAGCGGUGAAAUGCGUAGAGAUCGGGAGGAACAUCAGUGGCAAAGGCGGCCAUCUGGGACAACACUGACGCUGAGGCACGAAAGCGUGGGGAGCAAACAGGAUUAGAUACCCGCGUAGUCCCUGUCUCUUAUAC